UACGUAGGCAGCGAGCGUUGUUCGGAGUUACUGGGCGUAAAGAGUGCGUAGGCGGUUUUCUAAGUUUGGUGUGAAAUCUCCCGGCUUAACUGGGAGGGUGCGCCGAGAACUGGAAGGCUUGAGUAUGGGAGAGGUAAGCGGAAUUCCUGGUGUAGCGGUGAAAUGCGUAGAUAUCAGGAGGAACACCUGCGGUGUAGACGGCUUACUGGACCAUAACUGACGCUGAGGCACGAAAGCGUGGGUAGCAAACAGG
RNAcentral lists this ribosomal RNA (253 nucleotides) under uncultured bacterium. RNAcentral describes it as "partial 16S ribosomal RNA". It matches the Rfam family "Bacterial small subunit ribosomal RNA", at positions 524 to 776 of the family's 1533-position model. The record is from RNAcentral.